AAAAAUUCUUCUUUUCUCACAAUUCAUUUCAUUUUAUAGACAGAAAAGAAGGGUGAUUGUCUAUUUUAACUUAUUUAAUAUUGUUUUUUCUCCAGUUGCUCUAUAUAUUUUCAGCCAUUUGUUUACUUUUGUUCAUCUGCUUUCUUCUUGCACAUCAGUGGAGUAAAACCUCUGGACCCACGAUUCAAAAAUCGUGUCUGGUGGUGUCACCUUUCACUGGUCCAAUCACCAAAAACAUAAUUAAAAAAACGUGCCUUCCUCAGCAACUCACUGCUGAUCAAGAACAACUACAAGAAACUGC
This is a long non-coding RNA of Oreochromis aureus, 301 nucleotides long. RefSeq lists it as uncharacterized. NCBI's taxonomy places the organism in Eukaryota, Metazoa, Chordata, Actinopteri, Cichliformes, Cichlidae. The transcript is spliced from 3 exons. The record is from RefSeq and is a predicted model, not a curated record.